AAUUGUUGUUGGGGGUUUAGUCUGUUUUAGCAGUGGGAGUUGGGCUAUGUUACUUCACCAAGUCUUGUUGGAAGAAGAAAGAUGGUAAGUCUACUCUAUUUAAUUGUUGUUACAUUUUUUCGAAAUUUUUAAAUUUGCAACUUUAUAAUUUCAGCGUUGUUUUGAUAUAUACCAAAUAAUAUAUUCCCGUUUAAUGAUGAGAAGAGUCACAUUUUUUGCAGAUUGGUGAGGCAGAUGGCUGCUGUGGCUCUUGCCCUUAGGAAGAAUAAUCGAAAAUCUUGCAUGAUUGCCAGUAUUAAUGUUUUCUAUUUUUUGCAGUUGCAAUCUUUGGGAUUUUGAACUAGGCUCAAACGUUUGUAGAAUUGUUGAUAAAUAUUGUCAUAGAAGGAUAAGAUUUGGACCUGCAAUUAAAGUAACUACAAAAGAAUCAAGAGAUUGAGACAUUAUUAAAAUAUUUCUAAAGUAGUGCCGAUUUUUUUUUACUUUUUUUUUUAAAGAACUAAUUAAUCAAGCUAGUUCAAAUAUGUCAAGUUGUUUGUAGAAUUGUUGGGUAAAAAUGGCGAGUAAAGGGAAGGAAAAAAAAAAGAAAAUACAAACUAUCAUA
RNAcentral lists this long non-coding RNA (604 nucleotides) under Salvia miltiorrhiza (redroot sage). RNAcentral describes it as "long non-coding RNA (SMIL_LNC004736)". The record is from RNAcentral. Lineage: Eukaryota; Viridiplantae; Streptophyta; Magnoliopsida; Lamiales; Lamiaceae.